This 37-nucleotide ribosomal RNA is filed under the name Cladosporium cladosporioides. Its description in RNAcentral is "partial 18S ribosomal RNA". The record is from RNAcentral. Lineage: Eukaryota; Fungi; Ascomycota; Dothideomycetes; Cladosporiales; Cladosporiaceae.
GGAAUAAAAGUCGUAACAAGGUCUCCGUAGGUGAACC